GACGAACGCUGGCGGCGUGCCUAACACAUGCAAGUCGAACGGAGAAGUUGAUUUCGGUUGACUUCUUAGUGGCGAACGGGUGAGUAACGCGUGAACAACCUGACCUCAAGAGGGGGAUACCAACGAGAAAUCGUUGUUAAUACCGCAUAAGACCACAGCGCCGCAUGGCAAAGGGGUCAAAGAGCAAUCCGCUUGAGGAGGGGUUCGCGUCCCAUUAGGUAGUAGGCGGGGUAACGGCCCACCUAGCCAGCGAUGGUAGCCGAGCUGAGAGGCUGAACGGCCACACUGGAACUGAGACACGGUCCAGACUCCUACGGGAGGCAGCAGUGGGGAAUAUUGGGGCAAUGGGCGCAAGCCUGACCCAGCAACGCCGCGUGAGGGAAGAAGGUUUUCGGAUUGUAAAGCUCUGUCUUCAAGGACGAAUGUAGAUAUUGUGAAUAAUGAUAUUUAAUGACGGUACUUGAGGAGGAAGCCACGGCUAACUACGUGCCAGCAGCCGCGGUAAAACGU
Molecule: ribosomal RNA, 510 nt
Filed under: uncultured bacterium
Lineage: Bacteria
Description: bacterial SSU rRNA
Rfam family: Bacterial small subunit ribosomal RNA
Source: RNAcentral